Molecule: ribosomal RNA, 381 nt
Filed under: Triticum aestivum (bread wheat)
Lineage: Eukaryota; Viridiplantae; Streptophyta; Magnoliopsida; Poales; Poaceae
Description: partial small subunit ribosomal RNA
Source: RNAcentral
GUUCGGGCAAAUUUUGCCAACGAUGCUCACAUUCUUUGCCCAUGUUGUGAAUGCCUCAACCGUCCAAGAAUGGCUCAAGGAAGAGUGGAAGAUCAUCUGCUUCUUAAUGGGAUGUCCAGCACAUAUGAUAGAUGGAUAUAUCAUGGAGAACCUUUAGACAGACAACCUCAACAUUUUGAAGCUGAUAUAGAGGCCCCUCAUAUGAUGGGUGGUGGUGAUGCUGGCAUUGAUUUCAUGGAAAAGGUUCUGCGAGAUAAUGCUGUUUUGGAGGAAGAGGAUGGGCAUGAAGAUGAUAGGAUUCCUGACCUAUUGAAGGAUUUGUACGAUGCUGAAGAUCGUGCUGAUGGACAGAAAUCGUUGUUUGCUGAGGUGUUAGAGGAG